This 253-nucleotide ribosomal RNA is filed under the name uncultured bacterium. RNAcentral's name for it is "partial 16S ribosomal RNA". It matches the Rfam family "Bacterial small subunit ribosomal RNA", at positions 524 to 776 of the family's 1533-position model. The record is from RNAcentral.
UACGGAGGGUGCGAGCGUUAAUCGGAAUUACUGGGCGUAAAGCGCAUGCAGGUGGAUAAUUAAGUCAGAUGUGAAAGCCCGGGGCUCAACCUUGGAUGGUCAUUUGAAACUGGUUAUCUAGAGUACUGUAGAGGGGGGUAGAAUUUCAGGAGUAGCGGUGAAAUGCGUAGAUUUCUGAAGGAAUACCGGUGGCGAAGGCGGCCCUCUGGACAGAUACUGACACUCAGAUGCGAAAGCGUGGGUAGCAAACAGG